UCCUACGGGGAGGCAGCAGUAGGGAAUCUUCCGCAAUGGGCGAAAGCCUGACGGAGCAACGCCGCGUGAGUGAUGAAGGUCUUCGGAUCGUAAAACUCUGUUAUCAGGGAAGAACAAAUGUGUAAGUAACUGUGCACAUCUUGACGGUACCUGAUCAGAAAGCCACGGCUAACUACGUGCCAGCAGCCGCGGUAAUACGUAGGUGGCAAGCGUUAUCCGGAAUUAUUGGGCGUAAAGCGCGCGUAGGCGGUUUUUUAAGUCUGAUGUGAAAGCCCACGGCUCAACCGUGGAGGGUCAUUGGAAACUGGAAAACUUGAGUGCAGAAGAGGAAAGUGGAAUUCCAUGUGUAGCGGUGAAAUGCGCAGAGAUAUGGAGGAACACCAGUGGCGAAGGCGACUUUCUGGUCUGUAACUGACGCUGAUGUGCGAAAGCGUGGGGAUCAAACAGGAUUAGAUACCCUGGUAGUCCACGCCGUAAACGAUGAGUGCUAAGUGUUAGGGGGUUUCCGCCCCUUAGUGCUGCAGCUAACGCAUAAGCAC
RNAcentral lists this ribosomal RNA (539 nucleotides) under bacterium KU5. Its description in RNAcentral is "bacterial SSU rRNA". It matches the Rfam family "Bacterial small subunit ribosomal RNA", at positions 337 to 867 of the family's 1533-position model. The record is from RNAcentral.